GACGAACGCUGGCGGCGUGCUUAACACAUGCAAGUCGAACGGAAAGGCCCUGCUUUUGUGGGGUGCUCGAGUGGCGAACGGGUGAGUAACAUGUGAGUAACCUGCCCUUGACUUUGGGAUAACUUCAGGAAACUGGGGCUAAUACCGGAUAGGAGCUCCUGCUGCAUGGUGGGGGUUGGAAAGUUUCGGCGGUUGGGGAUGGACUCGCGGCUUAUCAGCUUGUUGGUGAGGUAGUGGCUUACCAAGGCUUUGACGGGUAGCCGGCCUGAGAGGGUGACCGGCCACAUUGGGACUGAGAUACGGCGCAGACUCCUACGGGAGGCAGCAGUGGAGAAUAUUGCACAAUGGGCGGAAGCCUGAUGCAGCAACGCCGCGUGCGGGAUGACGGCCUUCGGGUUGUAAACCGCUUUCGCCUGUGACGAAGCGUGAGUGACGGUAAUGGGUAAAGAAGCACCGGCUAACUACGUG
RNAcentral lists this ribosomal RNA (468 nucleotides) under uncultured bacterium. Its description in RNAcentral is "partial 16S ribosomal RNA". It matches the Rfam family "Bacterial small subunit ribosomal RNA", at positions 28 to 507 of the family's 1533-position model. The record is from RNAcentral.